Molecule: ribosomal RNA, 458 nt
Filed under: Streptococcus mitis
Lineage: Bacteria; Bacillati; Bacillota; Bacilli; Lactobacillales; Streptococcaceae
Description: bacterial SSU rRNA
Rfam family: Bacterial small subunit ribosomal RNA
Source: RNAcentral
GACGAACGCUGGCGGCGUGCCUAAUACAUGCAAGUAGAACGCUGAAGGAGGAGCUUGCUUCUCCGGAUGAGUUGCGAACGGGUGAGUAACGCGUAGGUAACCUGCCUGGUAGCGGGGGAUAACUAUUGGAAACGAUAGCUAAUACCGCAUAAGAGUAGAUGUUGCAUGACAUUUGCUUAAAAGGUGCAAUUGCAUCACUACCAGAUGGACCUGCGUUGUAUUAGCUAGUUGGUGGGGUAACGGCUCACCAAGGCGACGAUACAUAGCCGACCUGAGAGGGUGAUCGGCCACACUGGGACUGAGACACGGCCCAGACUCCUACGGGAGGCAGCAGUAGGGAAUCUUCGGCAAUGGACGGAAGUCUGACCGAGCAACGCCGCGUGAGUGAAGAAGGUUUUCGGAUCGUAAAGCUCUGUUGUAAGAGAAGAACGAGUGUGAGAGUGGAAAAGUUCACACUG